GAUGAACGCUGGCGGCGUGCCUAAUACAUGCAAGUCGAGCGAACAGACGCGGCUCUUGCUCCUCUCACGUUAGCCGCAGGCGGGUGAGUAACACGUGUAUCACCUACCUAUAUGACUGGUAUAUCUUCGGGACUCCGGAUCUUAUCCCGGAUAAUAUCUUGAACCGCAUUGUUCAUUAGUGAAAGUCGGCUUUUGUGUCACUUCUCGCUGGAUCCGCGCCGCAUUGGCUGGUUGGUAAGGUAACGGCUUAUCAAGGCAACGAUGCGUAGCCGACGUGAGAGGGUGAUCGGCCACACUGGAACUGAGACACGGUCAAGACGCCUACGGGAGGCAGCAGUAGGGAAUCUUCCGCAAUGGGCGAAAGCCUGACGGAGCAACGCCGCGUGAGUGAUGAAGGUCUUCGGAUCGUAAAACUCUGUUAUUAGGGAAGAACAAAUGUGUAAGUAACUAUGCACGUCUUGACGGUACCUAAUCAGAAAGCCACGGCUAACUACGUG
Molecule: ribosomal RNA, 497 nt
Filed under: uncultured bacterium
Lineage: Bacteria
Description: partial 16S ribosomal RNA
Rfam family: Bacterial small subunit ribosomal RNA
Source: RNAcentral